Molecule: ribosomal RNA, 484 nt
Filed under: uncultured bacterium
Lineage: Bacteria
Description: partial 16S ribosomal RNA
Rfam family: Bacterial small subunit ribosomal RNA
Source: RNAcentral
AUUGAACGCUGGCGGCAGGCCUAACACAUGCAAGUCGAGCGGAUGAAGGGAGCUUGCUCCUGGAUUCAGCGGCGGACGGGUGAGUAAUGCCUAGGAAUCUGCCUGGUAGUGGGGGAUAACGUCCGGAAACGGGCGCUAAUACCGCAUACGUCCUGAGGGAGAAAGUGGGGGAUCUUCGGACCUCACGCUAUCAGAUGAGCCUAGGUCGGAUUAGCUAGUUGGUGGGGUAAAGGCCUACCAAGGCGACGAUCCGUAACUGGUCUGAGAGGAUGAUCAGUCACACUGGAACUUAGCCACGGUCCAGACUCCUACGGGAGGCAGCAGUGGGGAAUAUUGGACAAUGGGCGGAAGCCUGAUCCAGCCAUGCCGCGUGUGUGAAGAAGGUCUUCGGAUUGUAAAGCACUUUAAGUUGGGAGGAAGGGCAGUAAGUUAAUACCUUGCUGUUUUGACGUUACCAACAGAAUAAGCACCGGCUAACUUCGUG